RNAcentral lists this ribosomal RNA (1301 nucleotides) under Chlamydomonas zebra. RNAcentral describes it as "LSU rRNA". It matches the Rfam family "Bacterial large subunit ribosomal RNA", at positions 1222 to 2525 of the family's 2925-position model. Lineage: Eukaryota; Viridiplantae; Chlorophyta; Chlorophyceae; Chlamydomonadales; Chlamydomonadaceae. The record is from RNAcentral.
UGAUAGGUAGGGGAGCGUUCCGCUCUCGGGUGAAGUUUUCACGUAAGUGGGGAUGGACGAAGCGGAAGUGAGAAUGUCGGCUUGAGUAACGAAAACAUUGGUGAGAAUCCAAUGCCCCGAAAACCUAAGGGUUCCUCCACUAGGUUCGUCCAUGGGGGGUUAGUCAGGACCUAAGACUAGGCCAAAAGGCGUCGUCGAUGGAAAACAGGUUAAUAUUCCUGUACUAAUUAAAUUAGGAUCUGAGGGACGAAGGAGGCUAAGCUAGAACUGUUUUUGGAUUGCAGUGGAAGCGUUUAGACUUUGAGAGAUAGAACAAAAGCUAUCUUGAGUGGAGACGUGAUCCCUAUUUGAUCCUUCGCCGUCUUGUAGCUAGCGAUAUCAUACUUCCAAGAAAAGCUCAUACAUCUAAUAAUUUAAUUACCUGUACCUGAAACCGACACAGGUAGGUUGGUAGAGAAUACCAAGGGGCGCGAGAGAACUCUCUCUAAGGAACUCGGCAAACUGGCCCCGUAACUUCGGAAGAAGGGGCGCCCUUUGCAAAAAGGGUCGCAGUGACCAGGCCCAGGCGACUGUUUACCAAAAACACAGGUCUCCGCAAAGUCGUAAGACAAUAUAUGGGGGCUGACGCCUGCCCAGUGCCGGAAGGUUAAGGAAGUUGGUUAUUUCGUAAGAAAAAAGCUGACGACCGAAGCCCCGGUGAACGGCGGUCGUAACUAUAACGAUCCUAAGGUAGCGAAAUUCAUUGUCGAGUAAGUUUCGACCUGCACGAAAGGCGUAACGAUCUGGGCGCUGUCUCGGAGAGAGGCUCGGUGAAAUAGACUUGUCCCGUGAAGAUGCGGACUACCUACACCUGGACAGAAAGACCCUAUGAAGCUUGACUGUAUCUUGGAAUUGGGUUUGGGCUUUUCUUGCGCAGCCUAGGUGGGAGGCGUUGAAGAUUACCUUCCGGGGUAAUCAGAGCCAUCAUUGAGAGACCACUCUGGAAGAGCUAGAAUCCUAAUGGGGAUCCUUGAAUCAGGACCCUUGACAGUUUCAGGUGGGCAGUUUAUUUGGGGCGAAUGCCUCCUAAAAGGUAACGGAGGCGUGCAAAGGUUCCCUCAGUCUGGACGGAAAUCAGACAUUGAGUGUAAAGGCAAAAGGGAGCUUGACUGCAAGACCUACAAGUCGAGCAGGGGCGAAAGCCGGCCUUAGUGAUCCGACGGUGCCGUGUGGAAGGGCCGUCGCUCAACGGAUAAAAGUUACUCUAGGGAUAACAGGCUGAUCUUCCCCAAGAGUUCACAUCGACGGGAAGGUUUGGCACC